CUGCCUACAGGAUAACAGUAUAUCCUUUAUCUUUACAACCAUCAGAAAUAACAAUUUCCCUGGCUGGUUUCACUGUUAGUAUGCAGUAAGGGUUUCAACACCUUCAGGAUCCACAUUCUUCCCACCAUCACUGUCAACUAUAUCAUCAACACCAGAAUCAUUUUCUAAUUCAGGCUGUCCAAAGACAAGAUCAAUUGGGAGCUUUAUUUCAGAGCCAUAGACCAUAGAUGCAGGUGUGACACCAAUGGCUUCAUGUACAGAACUACAAUGGGCCAUGAAACAUAAAGAUUUCAGGUGUGCAGUGUUCCCGAUUGUUCCACUCCAGUGUACUAUGCAGGGAAAUGUGUCAGGUAUUAUGUUGCUUCUGUCCUGUCUGUGUCUUCAGUAAGGCCAACACCAUUUUCUCCGCUGGUAUCCCAGGCACCAAAGGGUAUUCUGGCCCAACACCAAAUAGCUAUUCCAGCCCAAUUCCUGGAUAUUCCAGCCCAACACCUGGUUCAACAGCAAGACCAUCCUGAAGCCCAGCACCAAGUGUGGGAAGCCCAUUGUUGGACCAAAAAUUGAAGCCUUCUUUGCAAAUAUAGGUGCCCAUGAUAUGUGGAUCCACAGCCAUACUGUAAGAUGGUUCAGAAUCCUGCCACCAAGUGCUGCAUGAAACCCUCAUGCAAUGCUUGUUCACAAACACCUACACCACAGACAUACACACCAGAUGUAUGUGUAUACAAAGAAGUACAUACCAGGAAGGACAAUUGUGGUAUUAUGGCUGUAACAAUGUUUGUAUGGCAAAUGUAACAAAAACAUAUACACAUAUAAACAAAGAUUUGCAAUGCAUGCUACUAUCCAACAAGGCUGUGUACUGGUUCCUGACCCAAAAGAUCCCUCGUGCUGCUGGGUACCAAGUUGUUUGAUCCCUCUGAAACAAACCAUUGGUAUAGUGGUUGCUCCUGAAUCUACUGGGACCAUAGCAGGUUGUAUAUACAAAGGAAUGCUUGUGUAUCAGGGACAGAUAAUUGAUGACGGUUAUGAUUAUUCAUCGGAAUGCCUUGAUAAUACAGAUGAGAUAAAAGCUGCUUGUAUAUAAAAUGGUCAAGUCUACAAAUAAGGGGCUACAUCAUCAGGACAGAUGGGUGUAAAUAUAAUUGUGAAUGUAUAGAUGUAUUGGUGGACAGUACAAGUGUACAGAAAGGUGUGCUGUAUGUGACCUUGACAUGCCUUGCUGCAACCUUGACACUUCUUGCUGCAACCUUGACACCCCUUGCUGCGACCUUGACACUCCUGCAAAGUUGUUUUCCUGCAUGUAUCCACACACAUGAAGUGCUAGCGGCUAAUGAAGAACUAUGGUCUCAUACUGAUGCUUAUCCAUAUUUUGUUUAGAAUACUUACCUCUUUAUACGAGUUCAAUGUAUUUGGAUGUGUUCAUUCAAAAGAAUGUGAUUCAAAUGAUUAAAUAAUGGGUCAGUAAGAAUCUUAUGUCAAAGAGUUUAUUAGUGGAUCUCCUUCACUUUCUUCUUUUUUCCCUGUAUUUAUAUCGUAUUGUUGAAUUACAAUACAUUUUGGAUACAUGAGUGAGUGAGUUGGGUUUUACGGCAAAUCAACACAAUAUAUAGAGAUAUAUAUCUAUAGCCAAACUUGGCGAUAUAUGACCAUUUUGUGUUGAUUCACCGUAAAACCCAACUCACUCCUAUAUGUUCGCUUUCAAAGCCUAUAGCAAUUAGAGAAACUGUUAGCGAACAGCAUGGAUCCUGACCAGACUGGUCGGAUCCAUGCAGGUCGCAAACCCACUAUGUUGGUUUUUUCAUGGCAUGGCUCAUAUGUUGUAUGUAAUGAAUUAAAUGGUUGUAUAAUAUUAAAUUAUUUAAGUAUAUUUUUUAAACACAUUUUUGACAUAGUUAACUUGUACGGAAUACUUUACAUAAAAAUUAUAAAUGUUUUUCAGCUGUAAUUGUUUUUUCAGUAAAAUAGAACUAUAUAUACAUCCUUUCAUAUUAAAAUGUGAAGCAAAAUAUAUAAUUCCAUUCACCUGCUUUAAACAUACUUAUUUUGAGGUCUUUAUGUUGCAAAAGGCAUUAUGUGAAUAUAUAAAGGGCAUUUUGUUUGUUUCAGUGUAAGAUAUAAAUAUUUUUGACAAGUGAAUACCAGAGGCAGUAUUUUCAUGAAUGGCACGGCUGCAUGUGAAAAUGUAAAACAUAGUGUUCAUGUGUGAAAGAUAUUUAGAUUUUACAUGUAAAGCAAUUUUUCUGUAUAUGUUUUGACAAAAUUUACCCAUUUUAUAGUUUCUUACCAGUGAAAACUACAAAUAUGUUUACUGUGAAAAUACCAGAUAUAUUUCAAUAACUCACUAAAAUCUUGUAAUUUAUUUUGAUCUUACACUUAAACACACAAAAUUUAUGUUUUUGUUUGGCUACAAGACACCUAUUUAGAAAAAAAGAUAAUUGAGCCACACCAUGAGAAAACCAACAUCCGCACAGUCUGUUCAGGAUCAUGCUGUUCACUAUUGGCUUCUCUAAUUGCAAUAGGCUUUGAAAGCGAACAGCAUAGAUCCGGUCCAGACUGCGCAUCUGCGCAGUCUGGUCUGGAUCCAUGCUGGUCGCAAAGCCACUACGUUGGUUUUCUCAUUACGCUGCUAAUAUUUUGUUAGCAGUCUUUCAAUAAUGGAACAUCAUUGUGUGGGUUGUUUGCCAACAGCUAAAAUACUGCUGUAUUCAGAUAUUGACCUCUUAAGGUUCAUGAUCUUUUUGUGAAAAUGAAAGUUUUCAGAUAUUUUAACAAAUUCUCAUUGUGAUACAAAAUUUGUUCUACAGGUUUCUUGCAGCUUACACUUUCAGUCAAACUUUGUGGUCUACAGGUUUCUUGCAGCUUACACUAUCAGUCAAACUUUGUGUUCUACAGGUUUCUUGCAGCUUACACUAUCAGUCAAACUUUGUGUUCUACAGGUUUCUUGCAGCUUACACUAUCAGUCAAACUUUGUGUUCUACAGGUUUCUUGCAGCUUACACUUUCAGUCAAAUUUUGUGUUCUACAGGUUUCUUGCAGCUUACAAUCGCAGUCAAACUUUGUGUGGUACAGGUUUCUUGCAGCUUACACUUUCAGUCAAACUUUGUGGUCUACAGGUUUCUUGCAGCUUACAAUUACAGUCAAUCAUUGUGUUUUACAGGUUUCUUGCAGCUUACACAUUCAGUCAAACUUUGUGUUCUACAGGUUUCUUGCAGCUUACAAUUACAGUCAAACUUUGUGUUCUACAGGUUUCUUGCAGCUUACACUUUCAGUCAAACUUUGUGUUCUGCAGGUUUCUUGCAGCUUACAAUUACAGUCAAACUUUGUGUUCUACAGGUUUCUUGCAGCUUACACUUUCAGUCAAACUUUGUGUGGUACAGGUUUCUUGCAGCUUACACUUUCAAUCAAACUUUGUGUGGUACAGAUUUCUUGCAGCUUACAAUUGCAGUCAAACUUUGUGUUCUACAUGUUUCUUGCAGCUUACACUGUCAGUCAAAUUUUGUGUUCUACAGGUUUCUUGCAGCUUAUACUUUCAGUCAAACUUUGUGUGAUACAGGUUUCUUGCAGCUUACACUUUCAGUCAAACUUUGUGUGGUACAGAUUUCUUGCAGCUUACAAUUGCAGUCAAACUUUGUGUUCUACAUGUUUCUUGCAGCUUACACUAUCAGUCAAAUUUUGUGUUCUACAGGUUUCUUGCAGCUUACACUUUCAGUCAAACUUUGUGGUCUACAGGUUUCUUGCAGCUUACAAUUACAGUCAAACUUUGUGUUCUACAGGUUUCUUGCAGCUUACAGUUACAGUCAAACUUUGUGUUCUACAGUCAAACUUUGUGUACUACAGGUUUCUUGCAGCUUACACUUUCAGUCAAACUUUGUGUUCUACAGGUUUCUUCCAGACUGAAGUGUUUACAUAUUUAUAUGCCACUAUGUUCUGGCGUGUUUGUUUCAGUGCCAUCAUGUAGGUGAUAUGUACUAUAUUUAAAAACUGCAUAUAUAAACUUUGAAUGAAAAUUUUACAUCUGAUUUCUAAAUCCAACCUUAGAUGUUAUUAAAAGUAACAUUUUCACAGAAGUAUCUACUUAAUACUUUAAUCAAAAUUUACUGAAUAUCUGAAGAUUCUGUUUUAUGCAAUGGGAGGUUUUUAUAAUAGCAUAUGGCCAGUCAAUUGAGGUAUCGAGCUAAAAUGUAGUGCUGUAAAAUGUGAAGAAUUUGUGUGGUUAGAAUCGAAAUAAUAAAUAUGUUCCAAUAGUUUUAUCAGUUAAUUCAAUAUGGGCAGUCGUUUCGAAUGUGAGUAUUAAAUCAUGUGAUACGCUCUCAUAAUUUAAUUAUUACACAUCCAAACUCCUGCCCAUAUUUUAUUUAAUGAUAAAAUACAGGGACAAAUUUAUUAUCCCCACACCAAAGGCGAAGGGGAUAUUAGAAAUGCUCUCCCGCCGUGCGUGCGUGCGUCUGUCCGUGCGCCGGCAACGAUCUUUGUCCGUGGCAUAACUCCAAAAGUACUGGAGGGAUUUUCUUCAAACUUCAUACACUGAUGGAGCACAUUGGGAGGAAGUGCAUUGUGCAAGAACAAUAACUCUACCUUGCCUAUUUUUUGAGUUAUUCCCCUUUAUCAUAUUUUCUUAAAAAAUUUUGUCCGGACCAUAACUCCAAAAGUACUGGAGGGAUUUUCUUCAAACUUCAUACACUGAUAGAACGCAUUGGGAGGAAGUGCAGUGUGCAAGAACAAUAACUCUACCUUGCUUAUUUUUUGAAUUAUUCCCCUUUAUCAUAUUUUCUUAAAACAUUUUGUCCGGAGCAUAACCCCAAAAGUACUGGAGGGAUUUUCUUCAAACUUCAUACACUGAUAGAACACAUUGGGAGGAAGUGCAGUGUGCAAGAACAAUAUAUCUACCUUGCCUAUUUUUUGAGUUAUUCCCCUUUAUCAUAUUUUCUUUAAAAAAAAUUGUCCGGAGCAUAUCUUCUUCAUGCAUGGAGGGAUUUUGAUAUAUCUUGGCACAAAUAUUUACCACAACGAGGCGGAGUGUCAUGCGCAAGAACCAAGUCCCUAGGUCGAAGGUCAAGGUCACACUUAGAGGUCAAAAGAUACAAGAAUAAAAACCUUGUCCGGAGCAUUUCUUCUUCAUGCAUAGAGGGAUUUUGAUAUAACUUGGCACAAAUGUUCACCACCACGAGACGGAGUGUCUUGCCCAAGAUCCAGGUCACUAGGCCUAAGGUCAAGGUCACACCUAGAGGCCAAAGGUCAGAUACAAGAAUGACUUUGUCCGAAGCAUUUCUUCUUCAUGCAUGGAGGGAUUUUGAUGUAACUUGGCACAAUUAUACACCAUCAUGAGACGAAGUAUCAUGCGCAGUUCCCUUCUUUAGAAUUACUUCCCUUUAUUGUUACUUUAAAUAGCUUUUAUUGUAACUUUUUCAUUACUAGUUGUAGGGAAAAAUCAAGACCACUUUUCUGUAAUACAAAAAGCGUGCUUAAUCCAAUUUUGAGGUGUAUUUUGACCAAUCUCUACCUGAUAAAGAUUUUUGUGUGGACUUGCAAUUUUUUUUUGGCACCCUUGUUCCCUGUUAGCUUUCCAUUCCUUCUUUUUACCCCUGAUGCAGACCACAAUUAAACGGUUCUUCAAAGCUUUCCCCAAAAUUAAUACUUUCAGACACUAACUUGCCAGGAACUUUAGCCUUCAAUUAUAAUAUGCCCGGCGGGGGGAUUAGCCAUGUGUAACAUGGCUCUUGUUAUUUCUUAAAUCUUAACUAAUUUCAUAGUAACAAAUGAGCUUUUUUUUUUGGAUGCAGCAUAUUUUUUUUUUGUAUACACAUUAAAAUAACUAGAUGUGAAUGAAAUCUAGUAAUACAGACAUUACAAGUUGUUAGCAAAAUAUAUUUUUCAUACAAGUGUGUAAAUUUAUUGUCAGUAACACAGUGUCAUAGUUCUUACGUGAGAACAAAUGUCUGUGUGAGCAUAAUGUCAUAGUUCUUAUGUGACUUCAAAUGAAAUCUCUACCUGAUAAAGAUUUUUGUGUGGAGUUGCAAUUUUUUUUUUUUUUGAAGAUUAACUUCCCUUAGUUGUUACUAUAAAUAACUUAUAUUGUAACAUUUUUAUAAUUGACCCUAGGGAAAAAACAAGACCACUUUUCUGUGGUACAACAUAGAAGUUACUCUCCAAUUAUAGGUGUAUUUUAUUAUAUAUAAGGUAUCUCUACCUGGUAAGGAGUUUUUUUGUGGACUUUAAAAAACAAAAGACUUACAAUGAUUACUAAACAACCACAAAAUUAACAUUCCAUUUGCAAAUACAGCUGCUAGAGUAAAGAAAUUUGCUUUGACGGGCAUAUAUUGUGACAUUCUGGCACUCUUGUUCCCUGUUAGCUUUCCAUUCCUUCUUUUUACAGUAGCCAUAUAGAAAAACAUCAUAGCUAUACUGUUCAUGAAAAUUAAUAAAAUUUAGCAGUAAA
Long non-coding RNA from Mercenaria mercenaria, 6432 nucleotides. RefSeq lists it as uncharacterized. Lineage: Eukaryota; Metazoa; Mollusca; Bivalvia; Venerida; Veneridae. The record is from RefSeq and is a predicted model, not a curated record. The transcript has 9 exons.